AUCAGCUGUAUUACUGAGGGAGAAGUUAUAUCGCUGUAUGUAUUAUGUGCACUAUCAUAAGCGUAUAGCUUUUCCCCUUAGUGGUACAGCUAUC
Molecule: microRNA precursor, 94 nt
Filed under: Plutella xylostella (diamondback moth)
Lineage: Eukaryota; Metazoa; Arthropoda; Insecta; Lepidoptera; Plutellidae
Description: microRNA pxy-mir-965 precursor
Gene: pxy-mir-965
Rfam family: mir-965 microRNA precursor family (bases 11-84)
Source: miRBase by way of RNAcentral